GGGAAAAUGUGGGUGUGGUGCCUCCAUGUGGUCUGUCAAAUAAAAAUGUGACAUAUGGCAAUUAUUAUACCAGAUUUUUUAUUUUCC
Molecule: microRNA precursor, 87 nt
Filed under: Lotus japonicus
Lineage: Eukaryota; Viridiplantae; Streptophyta; Magnoliopsida; Fabales; Fabaceae
Description: miR7535 stem-loop (lja-MIR7535)
Source: miRBase by way of RNAcentral